GAUGAACGCUGGCGGCGUGCCUAAUACAUGCAAGUCGAGCGAACGGACGAGAAGCUUGCUUCUCUGAUGUUAGCGGCGGACGGGUGAGUAACACGUGGAUAACCUACCUAUAAGACUGGGAUAACUUCGGGAAACCGGAGCUAAUACCGGAUAAUAUUUUGAACCGCAUGGUUCAAAAGUGAAAGACGGUCUUGCUGUCACUUAUAGAUGGAUCCGCGCUGCAUUAGCUAGUUGGUAAGGUAACGGCUUACCAAGGCAACGAUGCAUAGCCGACCUGAGAGGGUGAUCGGCCACACUGGAACUGAGACACGGUCCAGACUCCUACGGGAGGCAGCAGUAGGGAAACUUCCGCAAUGGGCGAAAGCCUGACGGAGCAACGCCGCGUGAGUGAUGAAGGUCUUCGGAUCGUAAAACUCUGUUAUUAGGGAAGAACAUAUGUGUAAGUAACUGUGCACAUCUUGACGGUACCUAAUCAGAAAGCCACGGCUAACUACGUG
Molecule: ribosomal RNA, 497 nt
Filed under: uncultured bacterium
Lineage: Bacteria
Description: partial 16S ribosomal RNA
Rfam family: Bacterial small subunit ribosomal RNA
Source: RNAcentral